GGACCGUGUAUAAGUCUCCUGGGAUGGGGCGUCAUAGAGGGUGAGAAUCCCGUCUUUGACACGGACUACCAGUGCAUUGUGGUAUGCUCUCAAAGAGUCGAGUUGUUUGGGAAUGCAGCUCAAAAUGGGUGGUAAAUUCCAUCUAAAGCUAAAUAUUGGCGAGAGACCGAUAGCGAACAAGUACCGUGAGGGAAAGAUGAAAAGAACUUUGGAAAGAGAGUUAAACAGUACGUGAAAUUGCUGAAAGGGAAACGCUUGAAGUCAGUCGCGUUGGCCGGGAAUCAGCCUUGCUUUUGCAUGGUGUACUUUCUGGUUGACGGGUCAGCAUCAAUUUUGACCGCUGGAAAAAGGCCUGGGGAAUGUGGCAGCUUCGGCUGUGUUAUAGCCCCUAGUCACAUACAGUGGUUGGGAUUGAGGAACUCAGCACGCCGCAAGGCCGGGUUUCGACCACGUUCGUGCUUAGGAUGCUGGCAUAAUGGCUUUAAGCGACCCGUCUUGAAACACGGACCAAGGAGUCUAACAUGCCUGCGAGUAUUUGGGUGGAAAACUCAAGUGCGUAAUGAAAGUGAAAGUUGAGAUCCCUGUCGUGGGGAGCAUCGACGCCCGGACCAGAACUUUUGGGACGGAUCCGCGGUGGAGCAUGUAUGUUGGGACCCGAAAGAUGGUGAACUAUGCCUGAAUAGGGUGAAGCCAGAGGAAACUCUGGUGGAGGCUCGUAGCGAUUCUGACGUGCAAAUCGAUCGU
This 744-nucleotide ribosomal RNA is filed under the name Agaricus parvibicolor. RNAcentral's name for it is "eukaryotic LSU rRNA". It matches the Rfam family "Eukaryotic large subunit ribosomal RNA", at positions 172 to 905 of the family's 3401-position model. Lineage: Eukaryota; Fungi; Basidiomycota; Agaricomycetes; Agaricales; Agaricaceae. The record is from RNAcentral.